Molecule: ribosomal RNA, 1555 nt
Filed under: Escherichia coli
Lineage: Bacteria; Pseudomonadati; Pseudomonadota; Gammaproteobacteria; Enterobacterales; Enterobacteriaceae
Description: partial 23S ribosomal RNA
Rfam family: Bacterial large subunit ribosomal RNA
Source: RNAcentral
GAAACCGAGUCUUAACUGGGCGUUAAGUUGCAGGGUAUAGACCCGAAACCCGGUGAUCUAGCCAUGGGCAGGUUGAAGGUUGGGUAACACUAACUGGAGGACCGAACCGACUAAUGUUGAAAAAUUAGCGGAUGACUUGUGGCUGGGGGUGAAAGGCCAAUCAAACCGGGAGAUAGCUGGUUCUCCCCGAAAGCUAUUUAGGUAGCGCCUCGUGAAUUCAUCUCCGGGGGUAGAGCACUGUUUCGGCAAGGGGGUCAUCCCGACUUACCAACCCGAUGCAAACUGCGAAUACCGGAGAAUGUUAUCACGGGAGACACACGGCGGGUGCUAACGUCCGUCGUGAAGAGGGAAACAACCCAGACCGCCAGCUAAGGUCCCAAAGUCAUGGUUAAGUGGGAAACGAUGUGGGAAGGCCCAGACAGCCAGGAUGUUGGCUUAGAAGCAGCCAUCAUUUAAAGAAAGCGUAAUAGCUCACUGGUCGAGUCGGCCUGCGCGGAAGAUGUAACGGGGCUAAACCAUGCACCGAAGCUGCGGCAGCGACACUGUGUGUUGUUGGGUAGGGGAGCGUUCUGUAAGCCUGUGAAGGUGUGCUGUGAGGCAUGCUGGAGGUAUCAGAAGUGCGAAUGCUGACAUAAGUAACGAUAAAGCGGGUGAAAAGCCCGCUCGCCGGAAGACCAAGGGUUCCUGUCCAACGUUAAUCGGGGCAGGGUGAGUCGACCCCUAAGGCGAGGCCGAAAGGCGUAGUCGAUGGGAAACAGGUUAAUAUUCCUGUACUUGGUGUUACUGCGAAGGGGGGACGGAGAAGGCUAUGUUGGCCGGGCGACGGUUGUCCCGGUUUAAGCGUGUAGGCUGGUUUUCCAGGCAAAUCCGGAAAAUCAAGGCUGAGGCGUGAUGACGAGGCACUACGGUGCUGAAGCAACAAAUGCCCUGCUUCCAGGAAAAGCCUCUAAGCAUCAGGUAACAUCAAAUCGUACCCCAAACCGACACAGGUGGUCAGGUAGAGAAUACCAAGGCGCUUGAGAGAACUCGGGUGAAGGAACUAGGCAAAAUGGUGCCGUAACUUCGGGAGAAGGCACGCUGAUAUGUAGGUGAAGUCCCUCGCGGAUGGAGCUGAAAUCAGUCGAAGAUACCAGCUGGCUGCAACUGUUUAUUAAAAACACAGCACUGUGCAAACACGAAAGUGGACGUAUACGGUGUGACGCCUGCCCGGUGCCGGAAGGUUAAUUGAUGGGGUCAGCGCAAGCGAAGCUCUUGAUCGAAGCCCCGGUAAACGGCGGCCGUAACUAUAACGGUCCUAAGGUAGCGAAAUUCCUUGUCGGGUAAGUUCCGACCUGCACGAAUGGCGUAAUGAUGGCCAGGCUGUCUCCACCCGAGACUCAGUGAAAUUGAACUCGCUGUGAAGAUGCAGUGUACCCGCGGCAAGACGGAAAGACCCCGUGAACCUUUACUAUAGCUUGACACUGAACAUUGAGCCUUGAUGUGUAGGAUAGGUGGGAGGCUUUGAAGUGUGGACGCCAGUCUGCAUGGAGCCGACCUUGAAAUACCACCCUUUAAU